Molecule: long non-coding RNA, 3087 nt
Organism: Chiroxiphia lanceolata (lance-tailed manakin)
Lineage: Eukaryota; Metazoa; Chordata; Aves; Passeriformes; Pipridae
Exons: 9
Source: RefSeq, a predicted model, not a curated record
GCUGCCUGUUUCAUCCCUAGGCAAAGCAUGUCUUUUCCUUCCUUCAGCCGCUUCCUGGAUGGUCUCAGUUCCUAAAAGAAAUUAAUAUAACUUGAGCUCAGUCCUGUAGUUGCCCAAAGGCUCUGUUCCAUGAGAUGUGCCCAACAGGAGCAGUGGUGCUUGAUUUAUGUCAGAUUUCACUUUCUGUUGGCCCACAAUACCAGGCAUGACUUCAAAAUCUUGUGUCCGUAUUUUGCUCAGACUCUUCGACACGAGCUUGGGAGAGCUGAUCUGGGCAGCAGAAGGUUGCCCAGUCCCUUGCCUAACUUCCAGCUGUGGAUCCUGUACAUCUACAAAGGGCACUUGCACCUUCAACUGAGACUUGAGGAAUCCUUGUCAUGGGAAGAAAAGCACAGAAGGUGAUGUGCUUCUGGUCACCUGAUGACUUACAGGGUCUCUUUCUUCUCACAUUAUCCUUUCAGUGCAUGGAUGAAAGGAAGGAAAAGGCUACUCAAACUGGCAGGUUCUCCCAACCAUGUGUCCUUCUGGCAGCUGUGUGGAUGUGAUGGGGAUGGAAGCCCAGGACAGCCCAGUGAUGGAUGAGGUCUUCUGGAUGUUCCUUUCAGUUUUUGCAAAAGCCUUGUGAAGAAACUGCAAGGUCUCAGCAAGAAGACUGAUUUUGCAUCAGAUCCAAGCCUCAGAGAGCCUGCAAGCCCUGAGCUACUGCCAACCCACAGGGAAUGAGUCUGAAGGGUACAGUUUGGCAACAGUGGAACCCAAGAGAGUGUUUAGCUGUAGAUGCAAUAUGAAUUGUUCCUGCAGUUUAUUUUUACAUGCUUAGAGGGUGAAUGAGUUUGGAAGAUUCGGAGAGAAUCAGAAAAUUAGCAGAAUGAAUUAUUAUUGGUUAUUUAGACAAAAUGAGAAAUAUAUUUCCUGGUAGAACAUUGUGUGUCCAGGGAUGAUGAGAGGUGCUUUUGCAGAAAUGCUGGUGGGGAAAUAUUUAAAAGAAGAUUUUUUUCCCCCAGUAAGGAAGAGACCAAGAUACAGAAAAGUUCCCCGAUAUGGAGGCACGAGGGAAAGAUUGGUCUGUAGCAGGGAAACCUAGGCAGGAGAUGCUGAGAGUCUGGCAGGAGAGGAGUGUGAAGCCCCAUUCCUGGCCAGUUUGGUUUGGAGGGCUAAGGUGUAUGUGGCUAAUCUUUUCAUGUCAGCUAUCCCACUGUGCAAGAGAGCUAUAGUGUACCCCUAUGAGGACAUUUCACCUGUAGAAACAAGAUAGGACCUGGCACCAAGGGACCCUAUUUGGAAACAUGUGGUGGAGACAAAAUCAACACUGAAAAACUGUGAAAAAUAAAUGUACAAAGAUGUUCUAGGAUGUCUUUUAGCUUUUUGAAAGAAGAGGGGUAUCCUAAGCAAAUGGGUAAACAGAACAGCCAGAAAGCUUUGGUAGGCAUGGGAGGAGCACAGGGGAAGACUUUGUUCCCUGGUUUAGCUGCUUCUUGGCACAGUAAAUGGGAGCACUUUCUCCAAGGGGCCAGUGACACAGCUAGCCAUGUUUGUAGCCUUCAGCUGCAUGGCAAGAACACUGAAAGUAGUGUCCAUACAAAGUCAUCAAACUGUUACUGGAUGCAGCAUUAGGAUCUCAUCUACUGAAGCAAAAAUAGACACAUGGGCAUGCAGUACAUGAUUAAGAGCAUGUCACCUUUCUCCAUAUUAGUGUGUUUUUAACCACGCUCAGUGGACAGGAUCAUCAGAAUAUAGAUUAACAUUACUGGUCAAAUUAUAUGAAAGUUGUGAAAUUUCUAAACCCUUCCCUCUUUUCUCUAAGUAAGUGCUGGUUUUAACAUUGCUUCUCAAACAAGGAGAUUAUUCAAACCAGUUUCUCGUUAGUCACAUCAUCACCAAACUAUGAGGUCUGAAACAAGUCAGACCACAGCCUGUGUCUGCCCUAAUUGAGAAUAGGAGGAAUCUAAAGGGACCUGGAUUGUGUGCGAACCCUGUGGGGAUGGUAGUGAUGGCAGUGCCAGCCCUAAACAUUCUGUUUUUAAGGUAUCUCGUGGACAUCCAUUGCUUAUGUUUGACAGUGCACUUGUACUGGGUAUUCCCAGGCACAUGGGACCUUCUACAAACUGAAGGGCAUCCUCAGGUCAUGGGGCUGGAGGCCUAGCAGCUAUAUGGGUGGUGAAAUCAGCCUGGAGAGAGUCCCGGAGUGUCACAGGGAUGUGCUGUGCAUGUGAAUGAGAGUGUUCACACACACACGUGUUUAUAUGCAAUAUUGGUCCCUCCUGUGAUAAAUGGGUCUAAGUGAAGCUUUGUGAAAUUUUGAAUUUCUGUUUUUCAGAACAGAGCAAACUGUGGCAAAAAACCAGGAAAAAUUGUUUCCUGGAAUUAAAACAGUCAUGUUCAGAAAUGUUUCCAUGUUCCGUUUUGACAUUUUCUGGAUCAAAGUGAAGUAUUUUGACAUUUGUGAGGACCUUCUUUGGGUCUGACUUUCCUUGAUGCCUGACUGCUCUCUGGCUUCCUCCCUCUCCUACUAACAAGCUGAGAUUGUCCCACAGUGGGAUGCAAAGUAAAUGCAGACUGACCACCUGAAGAGCUCUGCAACACCAAGCAUGGGGAAGAAUAAUGUGCUCACCAGUUACAUAGCUGGUAAUUUAUUCACUGGAAGGGAGAGGGCUGCAGGAGCCAAAGAGAUCAGCUCCACAGACACCUGACCUAGGGACUAGUGCAGGACUGUCUCCAGAUUUUUCUUUGAAGAUGACACACCAGGAAAGUACAUCUGUACCAACUGAAGCACCCAGACCACUAUGCUGAAGAGUUUGGCAUGCAUUUUCAAUUGUGAAGAUUCAGGUGUGCACUGAUACAACUCAUCCAAACUCAACAGAGCUGAUCCUGAUGUACACAAGGACACUCAUAUUCAGAUUACCCAGCUCUCCCCCUCCUCUUCCCCUCAGGGUCUUUCUGCUCAUGUCACGUGGAAUGGCAUAAGUUCAGGUAUGGAUCAGAGAGACUUUGAAAUGGAAAAUCAGAGGAUACCGCAGGCCAUAUUGGAGAAGAGCUGGCAGAGUGGUGAGGGUUAGGACUAAGGUAGGCUUGUAUGGGGUGCUGUGU